RNAcentral lists this ribosomal RNA (253 nucleotides) under uncultured prokaryote. RNAcentral's name for it is "partial 16S ribosomal RNA". It matches the Rfam family "Bacterial small subunit ribosomal RNA", at positions 524 to 776 of the family's 1533-position model. The record is from RNAcentral.
UACGGAGGGUGCAAGCGUUGCUCGGAAUUAUUGGGCGUAAAGGGCAAGUAGGUGGUCUCAUUUGUCUGGGGUGAAAGCCUUGAGCUUAACUCAAGAAGUGCCUUAGAAACGGUGAGACUCGAGUUCUGGAGAGGGUCGUGGAAUUCCCGGUGUAGCGGUGAAAUGCGUAGAGAUCGGGAGGAACACCUGAGGCGAAGGCGGCGACCUGGACAGAUACUGACACUCAACUGCGAAAGCGUGGGGAGCGAACAGG